AGCGAACGCUGGCGGCAGGCCUAACACAUGCAAGUCGAACGAACUCUUCGGAGUUAGUGGCGGACGGGUGAGUAACACGUGGGAACGUGCCUUUAGGUUCGGAAUAACUCAGGGAAACUUGUGCUAAUACCGAAUGUGCCCUUCGGGGGAAAGAUUUAUCGCCUUUAGAGCGGCCCGCGUCUGAUUAGCUAGUUGGUGAGGUAAAGGCUCACCAAGGCGACGAUCAGUAGCUGGUCUGAGAGGAUGAUCAGCCACAUUGGGACUGAGACACGGCCCAAACUCCUACGGGAGGCAGCAGUGGGGAAUCUUGCGCAAUGGGCGAAAGCCUGACGCAGCCAUGCCGCGUGAAUGAUGAAGGUCUUAGGAUUGUAAAAUUCUUUCACCGGGGACGAUAAUGACGGUACCCGGAGAAGAAGCCCCGGCUAACUUCGAG
Molecule: ribosomal RNA, 433 nt
Filed under: uncultured bacterium
Lineage: Bacteria
Description: partial 16S ribosomal RNA
Rfam family: Bacterial small subunit ribosomal RNA
Source: RNAcentral